GCCUUUGUGGUGUAGUGGUCAACACGCUUGAUGCAUAUUCAAGAGGUCUGUGGUUCAAAUCCUGGUGAGUGCA
Molecule: transfer RNA, 73 nt
Filed under: Stegodyphus mimosarum
Lineage: Eukaryota; Metazoa; Arthropoda; Arachnida; Araneae; Eresidae
Rfam family: tRNA
About the family: Transfer RNA (tRNA) molecules are approximately 80 nucleotides in length. Their secondary structure includes four short double-helical elements and three loops (D, anti-codon, and T loops).
Source: Rfam by way of RNAcentral